CAAAUUAGAAAGUAUGGUGAGAACUCCUUUUGUUGACAAAAAUGGAAUAAAAAGAGGUGCAUGGAGUGAAGAUGAAGACAACAAAUUAAGAGCUUUUAUUGAAAGAUUUGGUCAUCCAAAUUGGAGGCAAUUGCCUAAAUAUGCUGGUUUAAUGAGGUGCGGGAAGAGUUGUAGAUUGAGAUGGAUGAAUUAUUUGAGGCCUGGCUUGAAGAAAGGAAAUUAUAGUCAUGAAGAAUAACAACUCAUUAUUAAAUUACACAACGAACUCGGAAAAAGAUGGUCAGCGAUUGCUACAAAAUUACUAGGAAGAUCGGACAAUGAUGUCAAAAAUCAUUGGCAUGCUCAUCUUAAAAAACGUGUUACAAUGGAUCAGCAAAUUAUUGAUCAAUCUUCAGAGUCAACAGGCCGAUCUCAAAAUUCUUAUAAGGUUUUGGAACACAAAGAAGUUAUGAAAGAGGUGUCAGAUCAUCUUGUUCAUGAUACUUCAAUUCAUCUAGAGGUUUCAUCGAGUGAUCAUCAUGAUUUAUAUUCCGAUUCUAGUUCCCAUGUAAAUGGAUUGGACUGGAUCGUAGAAGAUAAUAAUUACAUGAUAUCAAUGGAACCACUUCCAGACUCCUUUUCCUGGACAAUGAAUCCUAUCGAUAAUUUUCAGACUGAACCUUUUGACCACAUUUGGACCCAAUUCGUCGAUAGUUUCUGGACACAACCUUUCUUUUAAUUCUUAAUUAUAUAUAUACCUCAACUUUUA
Long non-coding RNA from Solanum tuberosum (potato), 748 nucleotides. RefSeq lists it as uncharacterized. Lineage: Eukaryota; Viridiplantae; Streptophyta; Magnoliopsida; Solanales; Solanaceae. The record is from RefSeq and is a predicted model, not a curated record. The transcript has 3 exons.